GUGCUCGUUUCAGCAGCACAUGUACUAAAAUUGGAACGAUACAGAGAAGAUUAGCAUGGCCCCUACACAAGGAUGACAGGCAAAUUUGUGAAGCAUUCCAUAUUUUU
RNAcentral lists this small nuclear RNA (107 nucleotides) under Marmota monax (woodchuck). The record is from RNAcentral. Lineage: Eukaryota; Metazoa; Chordata; Mammalia; Rodentia; Sciuridae.